AGUGAACGCUGGCGGUAGGCCUAACACAUGCAAGUCGAACGGCAGCACAGUAAGAGCUUGCUCUUACGGGUGGCGAGUGGCGGACGGGUGAGUAAGACAUCGGAAUCUACUUUUUCGUGGGGGAUAACGUAGGGAAACUUACGCUAAUACCGCAUACGACCUACGAGUGAAAGCAGGGGAUCUUCGGACCUUGCGCGAUUGAAUGAGCCGAUGUCGGAUUAGCUAGUUGGCGGGGUAAAGGCCCACCAAGGCGACGAUCCGUAGCUGGUCUGAGAGGAUGAUCAGCCACACUGGAUGUGAGACACGGUCCAGACUCCUACGGGAGGCAGCAGUGGGGAAUAUUGGACAAUGGGCGCAAGCCUGAUCCAGCCAUACCGCGUGGGUGAAGAAGGCCUUCGGGUUGUAAAGCCCUUUUGUUGGGAAAGAAAAGCAGCAGGUUAAUACCCCGCUGUUCUGACGGUACCCAAAGAAUAAGCACCGGCUAACUUCGUG
RNAcentral lists this ribosomal RNA (492 nucleotides) under uncultured bacterium. RNAcentral's name for it is "partial 16S ribosomal RNA". It matches the Rfam family "Bacterial small subunit ribosomal RNA", at positions 29 to 507 of the family's 1533-position model. The record is from RNAcentral.